RNAcentral lists this ribosomal RNA (233 nucleotides) under uncultured bacterium. RNAcentral describes it as "partial 16S ribosomal RNA". It matches the Rfam family "Bacterial small subunit ribosomal RNA", at positions 103 to 334 of the family's 1533-position model. The record is from RNAcentral.
CGGGUGAGUAACGCGUGAGCAACCUGGCCUAUACAGGGGGAUAACAGGGAGAAAUUCCUGCUAAUACCGCAUAAGACCACAGUAUCGCAUGGUACUGGGGUCGAAGGAGAGAUUCGGUAUAGGAUGGGCUCGCGUCCCAUUAGCUAGUUGGGGGUGCAACGGACCACCAAGGCGACGAUGGGUAGCCGACCUGAGAGGGUGAUCGGCCACACUGGGACUGAGACACGGCCCAG